This 253-nucleotide ribosomal RNA is filed under the name uncultured bacterium. RNAcentral's name for it is "partial 16S ribosomal RNA". It matches the Rfam family "Bacterial small subunit ribosomal RNA", at positions 524 to 776 of the family's 1533-position model. The record is from RNAcentral.
GACAGAGGUCCCGAGCGUUAGGCGGAAUCACUGGGCUUAAAGCGUGUGUAGGCGGAUUUGUAAGUACCUUGUGAAAUCCCACGGCUUAACCGUGGAACUGCUUGGUAUACUGCUUAUCUUGGGCCAUCUAGGGGCGAGCGGAACAAACGGUGGAGCGGUGAAAUGCGUAGAUAUCGUUUGGAACGCCAAUGGUGAAAACAGCUCGCUGGGGAUGUGCCGACGCUGAGAUACGAAAGCCAGGGGAGCGAACGGG